Molecule: ribosomal RNA, 168 nt
Filed under: uncultured bacterium
Lineage: Bacteria
Description: partial 16S ribosomal RNA
Rfam family: Bacterial small subunit ribosomal RNA
Source: RNAcentral
UCGGGGAGGCGACAGUGGGGAAUCUUGCGCAAUGGGCGGAAGCCUGACGCAGCGACGCCGCGUGGGGGAUGAAGGCCUUCGGGUUGUAAACCUCUUUCGGCAGGGACGAAGUUGACGUGUACCUGCACAAGAAGCGCCGGCUAACUACGUGCCAGCAGCCGCGGUAAA